This 553-nucleotide ribosomal RNA is filed under the name Weissella paramesenteroides. RNAcentral's name for it is "bacterial SSU rRNA". It matches the Rfam family "Bacterial small subunit ribosomal RNA", at positions 32 to 575 of the family's 1533-position model. Lineage: Bacteria; Bacillati; Bacillota; Bacilli; Lactobacillales; Lactobacillaceae. The record is from RNAcentral.
AACGCUUUGUCUUUAAUUGAUCUGACGAGCUUGCUCUGAUUUGAUUUUAUCUGACAAAGAGUGGCGAACGGGUGAGUAACACGUGGGUAACCUACCUCUUAGCAGGGGAUAACAUUUGGAAACAAGUGCUAAUACCGUAUAAUACCAACAACCGCAUGGUUGUUGGUUGAAAGAUGGUUCUGCUAUCACUAAGAGAUGGACCCGCGGUGCAUUAGCUAGUUGGUAAGGUAACGGCUUACCAAGGCAAUGAUGCAUAGCCGAGUUGAGAGACUGAUCGGCCACAAUGGGACUGAGACACGGCCCAUACUCCUACGGGAGGCAGCAGUAGGGAAUCUUCCACAAUGGGCGCAAGCCUGAUGGAGCAACGCCGCGUGUGUGAUGAAGGGUUUCGGCUCGUAAAACACUGUUAUAAGAGAAGAACGGCACUGAGAGUAACUGUUCAGUGUGUGACGGUAUCUUACCAGAAAGGAACGGCUAAAUACGUGCCAGCAGCCGCGGUAAUACGUAUGUUCCAAGCGUUAUCCGGAUUUAUUGGGCGUAAAGCGAGCGCAGA